GGGGCUGACAUAGCUUCGACGUUUGGACCUUUACAAGCUACUUCGCAAGUCGAUCAACUGACGUAAUCAGUUUUUAUAACUGCAAAAUCUUUUGCUAAGAGCGUUCCAAGUGUAUUUGCGCAAGCAUUUGCACCUGCUUACGCUCGCCAAGCUGCCUAAUUAAUUAGCGGCCAUCGGUUGCUUGAUGCUCGGAUAGAGCAUACCGGUGCCAUACUUCAUCCGGCUUGAAUGGCUACUGUUCCAUAGGGGUAGUCGUUGACAUUUUACCUUUGGGCGUCGGAUAGGCAUUUUUGUUUGCCUUUUAGCCUGAUGACGUAAUUUUAAGACAGACUAAGCUUGUAGACGAGUAGUAUGUAACCAGACGGACCGGGGUGCGAUUCCCCGCAGCUCCACCA
RNAcentral lists this transfer-messenger RNA (395 nucleotides) under Candidatus Saccharimonadota bacterium. Its description in RNAcentral is "Candidatus Saccharibacteria bacterium transfer-messenger RNA". It matches the Rfam family "transfer-messenger RNA". From Rfam's summary of the family: Bacterial tmRNA, also known as 10Sa RNA or SsrA, is named for its dual tRNA and mRNA-like properties. Its role is to liberate the mRNA from a stalled ribosome. The record is from RNAcentral. RNAcentral also lists the same sequence under 1 other name. Lineage: Bacteria; Candidatus Saccharimonadota.